Perca fluviatilis (European perch) is the source of this 257-nucleotide long non-coding RNA. RefSeq lists it as uncharacterized. The transcript is spliced from 3 exons. The record is from RefSeq and is a predicted model, not a curated record. Lineage: Eukaryota; Metazoa; Chordata; Actinopteri; Perciformes; Percidae.
GUGGCGCUAAUUUGCACACUACACUGAUUCCUUACCGCUCUUUGGAAAAACACAGAAGAAGAAAAGUUUGAACAACGCAGCAAGGCGGGAAGCAGCAGACAGUAGGGUUGCAGAAACUACCUACGCAGCAGCAAUCAGGCUCACUGGACUUACUUUUCAAGAAGUUAAGGAAGAUAACUGGAGAUGUGAUAACGAUACCAGAAGACUGAGAAGAAACUGACCCUCAUUAGAAAGAUGAUGGAGACCACAUUUCCCCU